RNAcentral lists this ribosomal RNA (492 nucleotides) under uncultured bacterium. RNAcentral's name for it is "partial 16S ribosomal RNA". It matches the Rfam family "Bacterial small subunit ribosomal RNA", at positions 29 to 507 of the family's 1533-position model. The record is from RNAcentral.
AGUGAACGCUGGCGGUAGGCUUAACACAUGCAAGUCGAACGGCAGCACAGAAAGAGCUUGCUCUUACGGGUGGCGAGUGGCGGACGGGUGAGGAGCACGUCGGAAUCUACUUUUUGGUGGGGGGAAACGCAGGGAAACGUAGGCCAAAACCGCAAACGACCUACGGGUGAAAGCAGGGGAACGUCGGACGUUGUGCGAGGGAAGGGGCGGAUGUCGGAUUGGCUAGUUGGCGGGGGAAAGGCCCACCAAGGCGACGCUCCGUAGAUGGUCUGAGUGGAUGAUCAGCCACACUGCAACUGAGCCACGGCCCAGACUCCUCCGGUAGGCAGCAGUGGGGAAUAUUGGACAAUGGGCGCAACCCUGACCCAGCCCUACCGCGUGGGUGACGAAGUCCUUCGGGUUGUAAAGCCCUUUUGUUGGGAAAGAAAAGCAGCAGGUUAAUCCCCUGCUGUUCUGACGGUACCCAAAGAAUAAGCACCGGCUAACUUCGUG